Molecule: ribosomal RNA, 301 nt
Filed under: uncultured bacterium
Lineage: Bacteria
Description: partial 16S ribosomal RNA
Rfam family: Bacterial small subunit ribosomal RNA
Source: RNAcentral
CAGCAGCCGCGGGAAUACGAAGGGGGCGAGCGUUAUUCGGAACCACUGGGCGUAAAGCGUGCGUAGGCGGUUCUAAAAGUUAGAAGUGAAAGCCCAGGGCUUAACCCUGGAAUUGCUUUUAAAACUAUAGGACUAGAAUUCGGGAGAGGAUAGCGGAAUUGUCAGUGUAGCAGUGAAAUGCGUAGAUAUUGACAGGAACACCAGUGGCGUAAGCGGCUAUCUGGACCGACAUUGACGCUGAGGCACGAAAGCGUGGGGAUCAAACAGGAUUAGAUACCCCAGUAGUCCCUGUCUCUUAUAC